CCUACGGGUGGCAGCAGUGAGGAAUAUUGGUCAAUGGGCGCGAGCCUGAACCAGCCAAGUCGCGUGAGGGAGGACGGCCCUACGGGUUGUAAACCUCUUUUGCCGGGGAGCAACGUGCGCCACGUGUGGCGUCACUGAGAGUACCCGGAGAAAAAGCAUCGGCUAACGCCGUGCAAGCAGCCGCGGUAAUACGGAGGAUGCGAGCGGUAUCCGGAUUUAUGGGGUUUAAAGGGUGCGUGGGCGGAGCGUGAAGUCAGUGUUCAAAUUGGGGGGGUCAACCCUUUACCGCAAUUGAAACUGGCGUUCUUGAGUGGAAGAGAAGUAUGCGGAACUCGUGGUGUAGCGGUGAAAUGCAUAGAUAUCACGAAGAACCCCGAUUGCGAAGGCAGCAUGCCGGAUUCCGACUGACGCUGAGGCACGAAAGCGUGGGGAUCGAACAGGAUUAGAUACCCGAGUAGUC
RNAcentral lists this ribosomal RNA (460 nucleotides) under uncultured bacterium. RNAcentral's name for it is "partial 16S ribosomal RNA". It matches the Rfam family "Bacterial small subunit ribosomal RNA", at positions 338 to 795 of the family's 1533-position model. The record is from RNAcentral.